Molecule: ribosomal RNA, 445 nt
Filed under: uncultured bacterium
Lineage: Bacteria
Description: bacterial SSU rRNA
Rfam family: Bacterial small subunit ribosomal RNA
Source: RNAcentral
GUAAGGAAUAUUGGACAAUGGCCGCAAGGCUGAUCCAGCCAUGCCGCGUGCAGGAAGAAGGACCUAUGGUUUGUAAACUGCUUUUGUACGGGAGAAAACCCUUUCACGUGUGAGAGGCUGAUAGUACCGUAAGAAUAAGCAUCGGCUAACUUCGUGCCAGCAGCCGCGGUAAGACGAAGGAUGCAAGCGUUAUCCGGAUUCAUUGGGUUUAAAGGGAGCGUAGGCGGAUUUGUAAGUCAGUGGUGAAAUCUCUGGGCUCAACCCAGAAACUGCCAUUGAUACUGCAGAUCUAGAGUACAGUUGCCGUUGGCGGAAUAUGACAUGUAGUGGUGAAAUACUUAGAUAUGUCAUAGAACACCGAUUGCGAAGGCAGCUAACGAAACUGUAACUGACGCUGAGGCUCGAAAGUGCGGGGAUCAAACAGGAUUAGAUACCCUUGUAGUCC